Molecule: ribosomal RNA, 350 nt
Filed under: uncultured bacterium
Lineage: Bacteria
Description: bacterial SSU rRNA
Rfam family: Bacterial small subunit ribosomal RNA
Source: RNAcentral
ACUCCUACGGGAGGCAGCAGUGGGGAAUAUUGGACAAUGGGGGCAACCCUGAUCCAGCCAUGCCGCGUGAGUGAAGAAGGCCCUAGGGUCGUAAAGCUCUUUCAACUGUGAAGAUAAUGACGGUAGCAGUAGAAGAAACCCCGGCAACNCCUGNGCCAUCAGCCGCGGUAAUACGGAGGGGGUUAGCGUUGUUCGGAAUUACUGGGCGUAAAGCGCACGUAGGCGGACUAUUAAGUUAGAGGUGAAAUCCCAGGGCUCAACCCUGGAACUGCCUUUAAUACUGGUAGUCUUGAGUUCGAGAGAGGUGAGUGGAAUUCCGAGUGUAGAGGUGAAAUUCGUAGAGUGAAUUU